Long non-coding RNA from Oreochromis aureus, 808 nucleotides. RefSeq lists it as uncharacterized. The record is from RefSeq and is a predicted model, not a curated record. The transcript is spliced from 5 exons. NCBI's taxonomy places the organism in Eukaryota, Metazoa, Chordata, Actinopteri, Cichliformes, Cichlidae.
CACACUGAUGUUGUUAGCAUUAUGUAAAUGUUUUAUGUUAAAACUAAUGCCACCAAUUGAUUUUUAACUUUAAACACAAGUAUGUUGUUUUGAAUUUAAUUAACAACACAAUAUUUCAAUACAACAAAAUUCAGUAAAUUAAAUCCAACGUAAAAAGUUCAUUUAAAAUGAAGAGCACUUUAAUUUAAAGAGGAUUGUCCUAAUAGGCUCUCCGUACUUCUGAGUUUGCACAUGUGCAGUCUGGAAGUUUGAUCAUCCGCCAUUUUCAACUGAGACUUGCAUAUGCUUAGUAUCCUGGAUAGAAUCCAUCGCCAUCUGAGGAUUAUUUGGUUGGUUAGCUAGUUCUGUCUCUCAAUAGAUGCAACAAAAGUGGCUCAGAUGUGGUUGUUUUAAAUGUGGAAGUGCAGACAGUGUGCUGAAAGUGUUUUGACAAGAAUCCCAGCAUUGAUGUUCGACGGGAAUGCAUUCUGAAAGCUGUCUGUGUCUACUUAAAUGAAAAGCCAGAUGACCUGUUCAAGGAAUUCUUAGAUGUGGAUCUUGGUGCAAGCAGAGAAACGGAGCAGCUGACUUUGGGAGUCUAUGUUGUCAGACAUGAAGGAGCAGACUCUGCAGAUACACCUGAGGACAUUGGUGUCAUCAUAGAAGGAUGCACUGUGCUGCAAGCUCUUAGUGAUGUGGCAAAGGGGUGUGCCCUCCUGCUUGGACUAAUCUACAGUCUAAAUCUGAGCUACCCAAAGCACCUGAAAUACACAUUUGAAUUUCUUCAGAAGGUGCUGAUGGAGUUGGAUGGGAACAACCUAUCCAUGAA